GUGCUCGCUUCAGCAGCACAUAUACUAAAAUUGAAACAAUACAGAGAAGAUUAGCAUGGCCCCUGUGCAAGGGUGACACGCAAAUUCAUGAAGUGUUUCAUAUUUUU
This 107-nucleotide small nuclear RNA is filed under the name Chinchilla lanigera (long-tailed chinchilla). Lineage: Eukaryota; Metazoa; Chordata; Mammalia; Rodentia; Chinchillidae. The record is from RNAcentral.